GAGUUUGAUCCUGGCUCAGAUUGAACGCUGGCGGUAUGCUUUACACAUGCAAGUCGAACGGCAGCACGGGGCAACCUGGUGGCGAGUGGCGAACGGGUGAGUAACAUAUCGGAACAUGUUCGGAAGUGGGGGAUAACGUAGCGAAAGUUACGCUAAUACCGCAUAUGCCCUGAGGGGGAAAGGGGGGGAUCGCAAGACCUCUCGCUUUCGGAGUGGCCGAUAUCGGAUUAGCUAGUAGGCGAGGUAAAGGCUCACCUAGGCGACGAUCCGUAGCUGGUCUGAGAGGACGACCAGCCACACUGGAACUGAGACACGGUCCAGACUCCUACGGGAGGCAGCAGUGGGGAAUUUUGGACAAUGGGGGCAACCCUGAUCCAGCCAUACCGCGUGAGUGAAGAAGGCCUUCGGGUUGUAAAGCUCUUUCGGCAGGAAAGAAAACGUGCAGGCUAAUAUCCUGUAUGGAUGACGGUACCUGAAGAAGAAGCACCGGCUAACUACGUGCCAGCAGCCGCGGUAAUACGUAGGGUGCGAGCGUUAAUCGGAAUUACUGGGCGUAAAGCGUGCGCAGGCGGUUUUGUAAGACAGACGUGAAAUCCCCGGGCUUAACCUGGGAACUGCGUUUGUGACUGCAAGGCUAGAGUGUAGCAGAGGGGGGUAGAAUUUCCACGUGUAGCAGUGAAAUGCGUAGAUAUGUGGGAGGAAUACCGAUGGCGAAGGCAGCCCCCUGGGCUAACACUGACGCUCAUGCACGAAAGCGUGGGGAGCAAACAGGAUUAGAUACCCUGGUAGUCCACGCCCUAAACGAUGUCAACUAGGUGUUGGGGAAGGAGACUUCUUUAGUACCGCAGCUAACGCGCUAAGUUGACCGCCUGGGGAGUACGGUCGCAAGAUUAAAACUCAAAGGAAUUGACGGGGACCCGCACAAGCGGUGGAUUAUGUGGAUUAAUUCGAUGCAACGCGAAAAACCUUACCUACCCUUGACAUGCCAGGAACCCUGCUGAGAGGCGGGGGUGCCCGAAAGGGAACCUGGACACAGGUGCUGCAUGGCUGUCGUCAGCUCGUGUCGUGAGAUGUUGGGUUAAGUCCCGCAACGAGCGCAACCCUUGCCACUAGUUGCCAUCAUUAAGUUGGGCACUUUAGUGGGACUGCCGGUGACAAACCGGAGGAAGGUGGGGAUGACGUCAAGUCCUCAUGGCCCUUAUGGGUAGGGCUUCACACGUCAUACAAUGGUCGGUACAGAGGGUAGCCAACCCGCGAGGGGGAGCCAAUCUCAUAAAGCCGAUCGUAGUCCGGAUUGCAGGCUGCAACUCGCCUGCAUGAAGUCGGAAUCGCUAGUAAUCGCGGAUCAGCAUGUCGCGGUGAAUACGUUCCCGGGCCUUGUACACACCGCCCGUCACACCAUGGGAGUGGGGGAUACCAGAAGUAGGUAGCUUAACCUUCGGGAAGGCGCUUACCACGGUAUGUUUCAUGACUGGGGUGAAGUCGUAACAAGGUGACCGUA
RNAcentral lists this ribosomal RNA (1501 nucleotides) under uncultured bacterium. RNAcentral's name for it is "bacterial SSU rRNA". It matches the Rfam family "Bacterial small subunit ribosomal RNA". The record is from RNAcentral.